This 317-nucleotide unclassified non-coding RNA is filed under the name plant metagenome. RNAcentral describes it as "partial contains small subunit ribosomal RNA and internal transcribed spacer 1". The stretch from base 1 to 45 matches the Rfam family "Eukaryotic small subunit ribosomal RNA", at positions 1787 to 1831 of the family's 1831-position model. The record is from RNAcentral.
AGUCGUAACAAGGUUUCCGUAGGUGAACCUGCGGAAGGAUCAUUAACAAAUGUAAAAAGAACUCGACCGGUGAGGGCUUUGAUGCAUGACGCUUGUCGCCACGUUGCGGCACGCGCGCGGUUCCCCUGAAGAGUUCUUAUCCACAUAAACAUACACCUGUGCACCUAGCGCGAGCGCCGCCCCAUUCGGAGCCGUCCUGGCGUAACCUCCGUUUGUAUCGGGGGGGCUGGACCGGGGCGCUCCCUCUUUUACCAUAUUUAAUCCUGUCAAACCGCAUGUCUUUGAGCGCUCCAUGGAGCGCUCUGAAAAAAGUACAA